UUAGUACUCCCUCCGUGGGGAUAUACUUGUCAUCAAAAUAGACAAAAGGAUGUAUCUAGAACUAAAAUACAUCCAGAUACAUACUCUUUUAUUCAUUUUGAUGACAAGUAUUUCCGGACGGAAGAAGUAUAUA
Molecule: non-coding RNA, 133 nt
Organism: Triticum aestivum (bread wheat)
Lineage: Eukaryota; Viridiplantae; Streptophyta; Magnoliopsida; Poales; Poaceae
Source: Rfam